AUGUAUGAACCAAGGUGUAUAAAAUGUGAAAAGAACUAACGUUCAGGGCUGCUCCCCUGGUUUCAUGGGCUGUGUGUCUGUGAGGGAGCUCGCCUGAAGCUGUCUCCAUCCUGAGUAAAGCUGUUGCGAGCAAUGUGUGCUGGUGUUUGCUCCAUGCUUGCUCUGGCUAAUGAGUACCAGGAUCCAUGAGCAAUUGGACCGUCGUCUCCCUAGUCAUUUGGCGUCUCAUGGAAUUGGGGUCUAACAAAGACAAUUAAAGGUUUUUCUAUAUGAAGGAAAGUGCUCAGUGACCGGACGAGGAAGAUGGCAGGAGAACUGCAUCAGAGAGACCAACUGGCGGCUUCGGCAGUGGUGUCUCGAGGCAGGCUUCGGCUUCCUGGACCAUGACCCGCACAUCACGACGAGGGACAUGCUCAGCUGGGAUGGGCUUCACCUGUCCCCCAAAGGAGUGACCUCAAGCUGAGAUAAUGAAAAGAAUGAUGAGAAACAACAUCUGUAUGGAGAAGUGCGGAUGGAAAAAUACCUUGACUUCGAACAAAGACUUGAAUAAAAGUGGGAUGCAGCAAUGUCAGAGUGGAGGAAUCUACACUCUGCAACCUUCUGGAGCACAGGCAUCCCUGCUACCGCCACCAUCACCCUCAAUGAGCCUGGGCUGGCCACCCAGCGCUAACUUUGAGCAAGCAAGCUGGUAACUAUAACAUCUCCGUACAGUGUGUUUGUCUGUGUGAAUGAUGAGUGUGUUUAUCUUUGUGUUUGUCUCUGUGAAGUCUUUGUAUGUUUUUGUUCUAUGUAAUCAAUAAACGCAGGACUUUGCCUUAUCCCCCCGCUUCAUAAGGUCUUGCUUGUGAUUUGAGAUAUUGGCAAUUUGUGUAACAAAUCUACUUCUUCUCCCUGCAGCCUUCCUCCCCCCUCUGCCAUCUGCACCCCCACCCACAGCUCUCCACAGCCUGUGUCCCACUGCAGUUUUUGCCUCUUCCGCUCCCCCCCUCAGCCCUUAUACUGUCAGAUGCUGCUUAGGCUGCUCCAUCCCAGAGCACAGCACUUGGAAGUUUAGCCUUUGCCUGGCCAUGCAGCAGUGUCUGUGCUGCUGACUGGCCAGGCAAACAAUUUAGAUGUGUCGGUGCUGUAGAUUGGCUGGGAGUGGGAAAGAAUUUCCAUGUUCUCCAAACCCAAAAGAGACACCAGCCAAAGCGGAGCUGUGCCUGGCAGGGGAGGGAAGUGGGGGGGAGUAGCUGCAGAGGGGAAGUAGAGCAGGGGCAGGAGGCUGCUGUGAGUUUGACUCUGGAGCUCACCCAUGCUGAGGGACAGCGUUAGAGCUGCAGCAGCAGCCUGCUCCCCUCUCCACUUCAUAUAUGAAUGUAAGAUGAAGGGUUUUUUUUCCCCAUGCUAAUUGGGAAAGGGUGAGGGGACAUCAUCUUAUAUUUAAUUAAAUAUGGUAAUUCUAACCUAGUAUUUUUUCCCAGAAACUUUGAAUUCAAUGUACACAAUUAUCUUUGCUCAGACAUUAGGUAGUAAGCGAGCACGCACACUUAAUUUCACUUUUCUUUAUAAAAUUGUGGUUAUUUAUGUGUAUAUGAGGAGACUUAAAAAUCUCUGGGCAUGCACAAUUUUAAUAGAAUAAUAUAUUUGGAAGAUAUCUUUAUUGCAGCGGACACUUUUAAUACUUAAGAUAUUACGAUAUUCCUGUUUCUGUUUUA
This is a long non-coding RNA of Alligator mississippiensis (American alligator), 1697 nucleotides long. RefSeq lists it as uncharacterized. The record is from RefSeq and is a predicted model, not a curated record. NCBI's taxonomy places the organism in Eukaryota, Metazoa, Chordata, Crocodylia, Alligatoridae. The transcript has 3 exons.